UAAUUGGAAUUUGUUAAUCUUCUGAAAUGCAGCUGCUUAUAGGAUGAAACAAACCAACUACCAUACAACAGUAGCUGAAAACAGAAAGCACCGGAAAAAUCGAACAGUGAUACAUCCAGUUGAUAUAAAUUGUGGUUACAACCUGCAAGCAACAAGCAAGGCUGGAAACAUAGCAGUAUGUUAUAGGGAUGAGUUAGACUUUGUGCAAAGGAUCCAAGGAACUGAACAGCUGCAUUUCAUACACCUAUAGCAAUUUCUGAGGAUCUCCGUGAUUUAUGAGCAUUAGUAAAUGAAGACUGAACACCUCAUGAGGUACAGAAGAAUUGUUUUAUAGAUGAGGAAACCAAGGCACAGAGAGGCACCAUGGUCCCAAAUAUUAGAUCAUGACAGAGUCAAGAACAGAACCAAGAUCUCCUGACUCCCACUCCUGUGCUUUAAUCACAAGACCACCCUUUCCUCCCGGUUAGUAAUAGCAGCCUUUUGUUUAUAUUAAACUAAACAAUUCAGUUACCCAUUAAUGUACUUACUUUAUUUAUGGCACUUACAGGAUUUUUUUAUAGUUUUAUUGAUUAAAAUUUACUAAGUAAUUUCCUGAAAUAUUACUACUUAAUAAAGUAGUAAUUGCUUUACUGAGAAUUUUUUUUUCUGUUAGUAUAAGCCUGAUGUUCUUUACUGACUUAUGCCUGAGAGGCAGUAUAUAACUGGAUUGGUUUGGGUUGAGAGUUCACCUCAGGAGUCUGUGAGGAGAGCAGAUAUGAUGAUAUAAACAUUUUUAGUUUAGAAUCUUUAAG
Molecule: long non-coding RNA, 791 nt
Organism: Chrysemys picta bellii (western painted turtle)
Lineage: Eukaryota; Metazoa; Chordata; Testudines; Emydidae
Source: RefSeq, a predicted model, not a curated record